GAGUUUGAUCAUGGCUCAGAUUGAACGCGGGCGGCAUGCUUUACACAUGCAAGUCGAACGGCAUCGGGGAAGUGCUUGCACUUCUGCCGGCGAGUGGCGAACGGGUGAGUAAUGCAUUGGAACGUACCGGGUAAUGGGGGAUAACUUGCCGAAAGGUAAGCUAAUACCGCAUACGCUUUAAGAAGGAAAGCGGGGGAUCAUCUGACCUCGCGUUAUCCGAGCGGCCAAUGUCUGAUUAGGUAGUUGGUGGGGUAAAAGCCUACCAAGCCGACGAUCAGUAGCGGGUCUGAGAGGAUGAUCCGCCACACUGGGACUGAGACACGGCCCAGACUCCUACGGGAGGCAGCAGUGGGGAAUUUUGGACAAUGGGCGCAAGCCUGAUCCAGCCAUGCCGCGUGUCUGAAGAAGGCCUUCGGGUUGUAAAGGACUUUUGUCGGGGAAGAAAAGGCAGAUGCUAAUAUCGUUUGCUGAUGACGUACCCGAAGAAUAAG
RNAcentral lists this ribosomal RNA (491 nucleotides) under Conchiformibius steedae. Its description in RNAcentral is "bacterial SSU rRNA". It matches the Rfam family "Bacterial small subunit ribosomal RNA", at positions 9 to 490 of the family's 1533-position model. The record is from RNAcentral. Lineage: Bacteria; Pseudomonadati; Pseudomonadota; Betaproteobacteria; Neisseriales; Neisseriaceae.